UUUAUUAUCACUCUAUAACCCUUCACAUCUCUUAACCACAAUCUAUAGCCUUUAACCCCUUCUCCAUAUCCUAAGAACACACCCUUCAUUGAUCUAGGGUCCAGUUUUGACUUAAUAUGAUGUGCAUAAGCUGCACAUCCAAAAGUCCUUAGGUGAAAAUAAUCUGGCAUUGAACCAGACCAGAUUUGUUCGGGAAUUUUGUUAUUCAGAGAGCUGGAAGGACAUCUAUUAAUAAGAUAACAGGCUGUCUUUACAGCCUCACCCCAGAAUACUUUUGGGAGUCCAGAACUGAUUAACAUACAUCUGGUCCUCUCAAGAAUUGUCCUAUUAAGCCUCUCGGCAACCCCAUUUUGUUGUGGGGGUAUAGCUCACAGUUUUAUGUCUCAUUAUCCCUUGUUUACUGCAAUAUUGAUCAAAUUCGAUAUUGCAAAAUUCAAAUCCAUUGUCAGUUCUCAAAAUUUUUAUCUUCUUACCAGUCUGAUUUUCAAUCAAUGAAUUCCAUUCUUUGAAAAUUUUAAAAGUAUCAGACUUAGACUUUAAUAAGAAAAUCCAUAUUUUUCUUGAAUAGUCAUCGGUGAUAAGAAGAUAAUAUUUGUUUCCAGAUACUGUUGGCACUGGGGCAGGUCCCCAUAAGUCAGAAUGUAUGUACUCAAGAACAUCUUGAGACUUAUGCAGCCCUACCUUAAAUGGCAGCCUAACUUGUUUUCCCAUUAUACAAUGUUCACAAAAUGUUAAUUUUUGAACACUGUCUUUUCCAAAAGCCCCUUGACAUGAUAGAGUUUUUAAGCCUUUUUCACUUAGAUGACCAAGUCUCUUGUGUCAUAAUUCUGAUUUAUCUGUAUGUGUGACAAGAUUCACACCAUUAUUUGGUGAAAUUAUUUCAACACUUAUUGUAUAAAUUCCAUUCAGCUUUAAUGAACUGACAAUAAGUUCUUGAUUUCUAAUAAUAUUGGUAGAGCCAUUCUUUAUUUCUAUUUGAUAAUUUUCAUCAUCAAGAAUACCUAGGGAUAUAAGGUUUCUUUUUAGGGCUGGAACAUAUCUUGUAUGUUUUAGCAACAUGUGAUGACCAUUUUGAAGUUUUAGCAACACAUUUCCAAUAGCCUUAACUCUACAUGUCUCAUUAUUUCCAAGUUUUACUGACCCUUCAUCAAGUUCAGAGUAGUUAGUCAGGUAGCCUAUAUUAGGUGUCAUAAGAAAAGAACAUCCAGAGUCCAAGACCCAGUCCUGAUCAUAAUUUUCUGUUAUUGACACAUAGGCUACUCCAAUAUUGGCUCUUGCCUCUCUAUAGUUGGAAGCAUUCAAUGGGGCAUUUUCAGUAUUGGGAUUUUUCUUUUGGUCAUGGGCCUUCUUGAAACAAUUCUUAAUGAAGUGCCUAGUUUUUCCACAAUAAAAGCACUUCUUAUUAUUUGUCUUUCCUUUAAGUGACUUCUUGUCUUUUCCUUUGGUGUUAUUCCAUUUCUUUUUGACAAAGUUUUUAUCCUUGUUGUAAUUUGAAUAACUACAGUUGCUUGCACCUUUAGCAAGUGUUCUUUGCUUAGGUGACACACCCUCCAUAUUAGAUACAUCUCUGUGUUCAGAUUUAAAUUCCAGUUCUCUGUUCAAGAGAGAACUGUGAAUUAUUUCAACAGUAAGGUCACUCCUANAGGCUCCAGAUGUUGUUCAUCUUCAAUUAUUUCAACAUCAGAAUCAUUUUGGGGUACUAUCUGAUGUGGCUCCACCUCGAACUGAGCCUGGUCAUCAGAAUUGUGGUUAUCGGAAUUAAUUUCUGUGAUAAUAAAAUCAUCCUUUCCUAACUUCUCACCAGAUUUGUCACUAAGACAAGAAAAUUAUCUUCAUUAAAGAUAACAGAUCUGUUUAUUAUCACUCUAUAACCCUUCACAUCUCUUAACCACAAUCUAUAGCCUUUAACCCCUUCUCCAUAUCCUAAGAACACACCCUUCAUUGAUCUAGGGUCCAGUUUUGACUUAAUAUGAUGUGCAUAAGCUGCACAUCCAAAAGUCCUUAGGUGAAAAUAAUCUGGCAUUGAACCAGACCAGAUUUGUUCGGGAAUUUUGUUAUUCAGAGAGCUGGAAGGACAUCUAUUAAUAAGAUAACAGGCUGUCUUUACAGCCUCACCCCAGAAUACUUUUGGGAGUCCAGAACUGAUUAACAUACAUCUGGUCCUUUCAAGAAUUGUCCUAUUAAGCCUCUCGGCAACCCCAUUUUGUUGUGGGGGUAUAGCUCACAAUUUUAUGUCUCAUUAUCCCUUGUUUACUGCAAUAUUGAUCAAAUUCGAUAUUGCAAAAUUCAAAUCCAUUGUCAGUUCUCAAAAUUUUUAUAUUCUUACCAGUCUGAUUUUCAAUCAAUGAAUUCCAUUCUUUGAAAAUUUUAAAAGUAUCAGACUUAGACUUUAAUAAGAAAAUCCAUAUUUUUCUUGAAUAGUCAUCGGUGAUAAGAAGAUAAUAUUUGUUUCCAGAUACUGUUGGCACUGGGGCAGGUCCCCAUAAGUCAGAAUGUAUGUACUCAAGAACAUCUUGAGACUUAUGCAGCCCUACCUUAAAUGGCAGCCUAACUUGUUUUCCCAUUAUACAAUGUUCACAAAAUGUUAAUUUUUGAACACAGUCUUUUCCAAAAACCCCUUGACAUGAUAGAGUUUUUAAGCCUUUUUCACUUAGAUGACCAAGUCUCUUGUGCCAUAAUUUUGAUUUAUCUGUAUGUGUGACAAGAUUCACACCAUUAUUUGGUGAAAUUAUUUCAACACUUAUUGUAUAAAUUCCAUUCAGCUUUAAUGAACUAACAAUAAGUUCUUGAUUUCUAAUAAUAUUGGUAGAGCCAUUCUUUAUUUCUAUUUGAUAAUUUUCAUCAUCAAGAAUACCUAGGGAUAUAAGGUUUCUUUUUAGGGUUGGAACAUAUCUUGUAUGUUUUAGCAACAUGUGAUGACCAUUUUGAAGUUUUAGCAACACAUUUCCAAUAGCCUUAACUCUACAUGUCUCAUUAUUUCCAAGUUUUACUGACCCUUCAUCAAGUUCAGAGUAGUUAGUCAGGUAGCCUAUAUUAGGUGUCAUAAGAAAAGAACAUCCAGAGUCCAAGACCCAGUCCUGAUCAUAAUUUUCUGUUAUUGACACAUAGGCUACUCCAAUAUUGGCUCUUGCCUCUCUAUAGUUGGAAGCAUUCAAUGGGGCAUUUUCAGUAUUGGGAUUUUUCUUUUGGUCAUGGGCCUUCUUGAAACAAUUCUUAAUGAAGUGCCUAGUUUUUCCACAAUAAAAGCACUUCUUAUUAUUUGUCUUUCCUUUAAGUGACUUCUUGUCUUUUCCUUUGGUGUUAUUCCAUUUCUUUUUGACAAAGUUUUUAUCCUUGUUGUAAUUUGAAUAACUAUAGUUGCUUGCACCUUUAGCAAGUGUUCUUUGCUUAGGUGACACACCCUCCAUAUUAGAUACAUCUCUGUGUUCAGAUUUAAAUUCCAGUUCUAUGUUCAAGAGAGAACUGUGAAUUAUUUCAACAGUAAGGUCACUCCUACCAUACUCCAGAGCAUUUCUUAUAUCUUUGUACUUAUCUCCAAAGGCAUUAAGUAGACCAACUACCUUUUGCUCAUCUGAUAUUUUCUCAUCACAGUUUAUCAAGUCUUGAGUUAUCCUUUUAAAUUUAUCCAUAUUAUCUUCUAUAUCAAGAUUAGGAUCAAACUUAAAAAUGAAAAAUUGCCUCCAAAGAAAACAUUUAUUUGGUAAGAUUUUAGUGAGGUACUGUUUCUCUAAUGCUGUCCACAAUUCUACAGCAGUUUUGGUCUCACCUACUUUCCUAAUCACAGUAUCAGUUAAGUGUAGAAACAUAGUGCUUCAGGCCAGUUCAUCUUGUUCAGUUUUUCUAUUCUCAGACAAGCCUUUUGGCCAGGAUUCAUCAAUUGCCUUAGCACAUUUUAACUGUAACAUAAGAGCCUUAAUUUUUUGACGUGAGAGACUAAAGUCUCCUUUGCCAUCCCACAUUUGGACAUCUACCUUAGAAGUCAUGAUGUGCAGUAGUGUGAGCAAUGUGUAUGUACAGAAAUGUACGAACAAGCAGUAUGUCGCAGUAAUGUAAUAGAGGUCAAUUAUUUGAGAGAUUACAGUAUUUAUAUGCAAGGAUAGUAUUCAUAAAAAAUUGUCAAGCACACAAUGGAGUACAAAACAGAUUACUCUUAGACUCAGUAAUCUACCAGAAAAAUUAAUGUGGUACAUACACCUCCAAGGAAGACUGUCUCUGACAAUCAGUAUCAGCCCUUUCCCUGUACAAUCACAUUUGAGUAUUAGUUAAUCAAAUAUAUAUAUAUAUAUAUAUAUAAUUCAUAAGUAUCUCUUCACAGUAACCGGAUACAGAGAAGAAAAAUUAUAAGAUUUCUUGAAUCGAAAAACCCUAGUCCCCUCAGAUUCUAGGGUUCUCUCAAUGACCCCUAGACAAAGGUGGAUUUAGGGAAGAUUCAAAAUAGAAACCCUAAUCUCCUUUAAGAAAAACGUUCGGUUACAAAUUUUUUUUUUUUUUUUAAAUGUGGAAGUCGAAAUUGAUACUCAGAACCACCAAAGGGAAUCGAACAAUGUUAUAAGAACCCCUUUAAAAUGUUUUAAAGAAUCAAAGACAGGAAACUGUAGAUCGUCAAAAAUCUGAGUGUUCGAACUCGAGCCCAAAAAAUGCAUAAACUCAAAACGCAGCACAAAUCAGAUUUUCCUAAAACGCUCUCAUACCACUGUUGUGUUUAGAAAAAUUCAUUCGUGCAUAAUCACAUUUCAAAUCGAACACACAGAAAGCAAAAAUAAGAUGAGAGAACACGAGAUUUUUCGGCCCAAAGGCCUCGAGGUUCCGCGACCAAAUCUAACGCCUACAUCCCCGUUGAGCAUCCAUCAGGAAUAAGCUCAAAUCCACUAUGAACAGCCAAAAAUAGGCAAAACAGUCUCAAGAACACAGUUACAAAACUUCUCAAAAACAAAAGAUCCUCUCACAACAAUAUUGAACUCCCACAAGAGUUCAUCUAAAUUCCUAAUUCUCUCUACCAAAAUCACACAAGAUCUAAAGAGAGAACGAAUCAAAAGAGGAGACGAAAGAGACUCUAAAAACUCGAAGCUGCUGGGUUAAAAACUCUAACCCUAAUCACCCCCUUUCUUUCCUUUUAUAUGAGAGUAACAAUUUAUUGUCAUCCAACGGUCCACUUCUUGCCACUUGUCUUGAAUCCGGAAGAGUUGUUAUUUCAUAACAAAAAACGCAUUUCUGUUUUGCACUUGUAACAAACUGGCUCUAGUUCCAGAAGUUUCUUCACAAUGGAUCAUCAAUUGCCCACCAAGUUUGGGCGGCCACACUUCACAGUCCAUUUAAAUCAGCUGGGCCAUACACAAAAUCCAGCAAAUCAAUUCUUACAAUAUUUAG
RNAcentral lists this long non-coding RNA (5367 nucleotides) under Olea europaea (common olive). RNAcentral describes it as "long non-coding RNA (OEUR_LNC001219)". Lineage: Eukaryota; Viridiplantae; Streptophyta; Magnoliopsida; Lamiales; Oleaceae. The record is from RNAcentral.